GAUCAUGGCUCAGGAUGAACGCUAGCUACAGGCUUAACACAUGCAAGUCGGAGGGGCAGGCAUGGUCUUAGCUUGCUAAGACUGAUGGCGACCGGCGCACGGGUGAGUAACACGUAUCCAACCUGGCCGUCUACUCUUGGACAGCCUUCUGAAAGGAAGAUUAAGUACCAAGAUGGGCAUCAUGAGUCCGCAUGUUCAUAUGAUUAAAGGUAUUCCGGUAGACGA
This 225-nucleotide ribosomal RNA is filed under the name uncultured bacterium. RNAcentral describes it as "partial 16S ribosomal RNA". It matches the Rfam family "Bacterial small subunit ribosomal RNA", at positions 15 to 225 of the family's 1533-position model. The record is from RNAcentral.